GAAUACCUAUGUUCGUAGGUAUUACUAGUUACGACUACUGGACGCUAGGCUUCAGUCGUCUUAUCUUAACGAAUAUCGUAUUCGAUGGCGUCGUCGUUUGUGGCUGGCUUUCUGGCAGCCUAUACUGUCUUCGCUAUUUUAAGGAUUUAACUUGGCCUAAUGGCAGAAAUAAAGUAGCAUGCCAUGUCUGUAGGUUGAAUUCAACCCUUUCAAGGAAGAAAUGUGAACAAUUAGUCACUAACCAUGUUGCCUUACGCCUUUUAAAAGUAGUAGAAUCCUCUCAGGCAAGAGCUAUUGAAAACAAGAAAAAACAGCUUUAGUGCAUAGACUGUAAUUUUACGGCUUUUGAUUUCUGAAAGCACGAGAAACAUAAAACUUUCAAGUAUCUUGAUGUUUACAAUAAUCGUUCACAGAAUCUUGAAUUUAAAAUUAGCUAAAUAAAUUCAGCAUGUGAUCAGGCUCUCAAAGGCUGCCACACAAUUCAAUCUGUCCUUAAGGUAGUUCUUGCCUGGAUUAGAUGGCUUGAGUUGGAAAUAACCCGCAGGGAUGCAUCCAUUUUCACCACAAUUGCUCAGUUAGAAUGCCUUAAAUCAACUGAGGUUUUUGAUGUUUCUGUGGAAGGGGACAUGCAAAAAACAAUUACCACGUUGAUGAACUCAUAGAAUCAGUGAAAAAUCUAGAGAAACCAAAGCUUUGGAGUUAGAUGUUCUUGACCUCCUUAAUACUUAUGGGAGUGCCCAACAAGACUUGGUUGUGUCGGUUUAAAACACUUUUUCGUCGUAAUACCAUUUUUCGACGUUUGUUACCUACUCAAUACGGAAACGGUAUUGAUUCACCUCGUCCGGCAACUGAUGGAGGGGAAUUGCUUAAUCCACGUAAUAUCAGUUUAUCUAUCGUCGGAGACGAUGGCCCUAAUUCAACUGACAUAACCCUACUCGUUAUGUCUUUUGGUCAAUUUGUGACGCAUGAUAUCACUUAUUCGGAGGACUUUACUUUUGAGUUCUUUAUCAGCAGCAGAACCAGCCUAUGGACACACUGCAAGCGUACAUACAUCUCCAUCGGGAGUGAGCGAUCAAGAGUUGCAGGUAUAUAAUCGUGGCGAACCACACGUCCGGAAUGACAUGGAGGUGAAAACGCAACUGCAGCAACUACCCGAUGAAAAUUGGGAUCCGACAUUGAGUCGCCGAGGAUGGGCGUGUAUUUCUCAUCGAUCCAUCACUACAAUUGCCAAGUACAAUCGUCUUCCAUUAGUUAAUGCUGAUAAACAGUGUAAAUUAGCGAUAAUGUUACUACCAACGAGCUCCGAAACGGCCUGUCCCAGGUCAUCAGCACUGAAAGACGAUGGCAAACAGAAACUGAUGCUAGGAAAAGCGUAAAUAACUUUUUCGCCCAUUCGGCUGACAGACUGGCCAUCAACACCAGCUUGAAGACAGCAGUUGAUACUCACGACAGCAAUGAUUAUUAAUCGGCAAGAGCUCUUAAUGUUGUUCUUUCGUCUCUCCAAUGACCAGCAAAAAAUCAGAUACGUUGAACUCGAUCACGUUCAAAUGACUGAAAUACAUGAAUACGACGAACGAAUGAAAUGAAACACCAAAUUUGACGGUAUCUUGGGAAUAUCGUAUCCGAAGAUUUCUGUUAACGGGGUACCUCCAGUUUUCAACAACAUGAUUGAACAAGGAUUUGUAGAAGAGCCAGUUUUUCCUUCUGGCUUAGCAGGAAUCCUGAUGCCACCGAGGGCGGAGAAAUUACAUUUGGUGGAUCAGACCCAAAUCGCUACACUGGCGAAAUUACUUGGGUUCCUGUUACCAGAAAAGCUUAUUGGCAAUUCAAAGUUGAUGGCGUGCAGGUUUCCAAUGAAGCUGAGGGUUCCUUUUGUCAAGGCGGAUGUCAAAUGAUUGCCGAUACUGGAACAUCUCUCAUUGCUGGCCCUGUAGAUGAUUAAGAAAUUGAACACACUGAUCGGUGGUGUCCCGAUCAUGGCCGGGGAAUAUUAUAUCACCUGCAGCAAAGUUGAUGAGCUUCCGACGAUUUCUUUUACCAUUGGAGGGAAAUAUUGCAGCUUAGAAGGGAGAGAAUAUGUUUUACAGAUUGUGAAGUCAAACUGUGUAUCGGUUUGCAUGUUUGUUGCAAGUUCAAGAAGACACUACAUCAUCAGAAACAGCUCGGCAGGAGCACUCUUAUCCAAGCAGCUAAUAAAGUCGAUUCGCUGCCAGCAGUCACUGUGUUCGCCCACGCCUUACGCUUUUUUAAGGAACACGCACUUCGUCAACUGUCAGAUCAGACGGUCAUUCCCA
RNAcentral lists this long non-coding RNA (2294 nucleotides) under Daphnia magna. RNAcentral describes it as "uncharacterized LOC116932743, transcript variant X3". Lineage: Eukaryota; Metazoa; Arthropoda; Branchiopoda; Diplostraca; Daphniidae. The record is from RNAcentral.